This 23-nucleotide non-coding RNA is filed under the name Cricetulus griseus (Chinese hamster). The record is from RNAcentral. Lineage: Eukaryota; Metazoa; Chordata; Mammalia; Rodentia; Cricetidae.
GUUUGAUGGAAAGAGUCUGGUCU